RNAcentral lists this long non-coding RNA (662 nucleotides) under Apteryx owenii (little spotted kiwi). RNAcentral's name for it is "lncRNA (ENSAOWG00000016851.1)". Lineage: Eukaryota; Metazoa; Chordata; Aves; Apterygiformes; Apterygidae. The record is from RNAcentral.
CCCUGCCUAUGCGGCUGGCUCUGAAGUGCUGGGGGAAUCGGACUAAAUAAGAUUUGCCUGUGCUUUGCCCAGACUGGAGUGCCUCUGGAGAGCCGACUUAGCUUAUAUGGAUGUUACCUAGAAGAAAGGAGACUACUUGUUCCAGGCUCCACCAGUGUGACUGUUUUUAUGUUAGACUAUCAUCUACAAAGUGGGAAUAUAAUGGAGCUGAGAUAAGGAAGCAGCUGAUCUUCACCCCCUGCAUGAGAAUUGCAAGAGGCCACAUCAUUGCAUUCCCUCUUGCCUGUGUUCCUACCGGGMUUGUGGUGAUACCGUACCAUAAACUGCAUAUGAUGCUCAAGAGGUUUGACAUCAUCACGGUUCUGAGAGCUUCCUGGCUGGAUUAUGUCUCCCGUACCAUACCACCCUCUUCACACAAUUCCCAUGGUGUGUUUGGUGCCAGAAGGAAGGCUGCAGAGGUGACUGAGCCCUUUUCCUAAAAUCUGCCUUUGGGACUGAAGAGGCAAAUGGGAAAGGAGUGACUAGCACAAACUGCACAGCGGUAAGAUCCAGCUUUAAUUUAUCAAACCUAGCUGUGUUUCUGCAGCUUCAUACAAUUUAAAUAAGACUUAUCUUGGCAUGUACAUAUGAAUUGAAUUGAAUAAACUCCCUACCUGGUGACA